AAGAACGCUGUGAACAGAUGAGUAGGAACAAAGCCGAUUUUAAAGAGAGCUAGGAUAGUGAAAGCUAGUAAUGAGGCAGUGCUGAAGAUGGUCUGGGAGCGUUGCGGUGAACUCCAAAAGUGAAGCUGCAGGUGCGAAGCCUUUAUGAAUUAAGAUAAACGUUUUUCGUUUAAAUAAAGGUGGCACCGCGGUGAAACGCCCUUUAC
This 206-nucleotide non-coding RNA is filed under the name Pediococcus cellicola. RNAcentral's name for it is "T-box sequence". It matches the Rfam family "T-box leader". Rfam says of the family: Uncharged tRNA acts as the effector for transcription antitermination of genes in the T-box leader family. Lineage: Bacteria; Bacillati; Bacillota; Bacilli; Lactobacillales; Lactobacillaceae. The record is from RNAcentral.